AAUUAGAACCCCCAAUUUAUUUAUUAAACUACAUGCCCUAACCCUCUAUUCCUCUUCUCCUGCACACUGUCUUUCUUCCUCGAGCGGCCGACAAUUUCAGAUCUCUCCUUCGUUUUCAUCCUUCAACGACGGGGAGAUGGGCAUCACCACGGCGACCGCGAUACGCUGCCAGCACCGUGACAGAGAGACGUUGCCCCAACCAUCUUUUGACUUCGAUGCCAGCACCAGCUCACGCCGUCGCUACCACCACCAGCUCACACCGUCGCUACCACAAAAUUCCGUUGUCGCUGUUGAAAAUCAUUAAAGAGGUUUUAAGUAUUAUUUUCAGGUUUUGUAAAGACCGUAAGAAAGCAGGGCUAUAUGUUGAUCGCCACAUAGAACCGUAUAUUGUGUAGAGAAAGGAUUUUUGGUUUGACCGAAAUAUGUUAUUGGAAUUAGCUUCAGGUUAGAUAGCGAGCCAUUCAAGAUUGAAAAUGAUCAUGCAACAAGAUCGCCCUGUCACGGCAACUAAGUAUAAUGAAAAUGAAGGAGAAAAUAAGGAUGAAGUUCUCUUUGUAAUGCUACUACAUAAACAUUUGCUGUAAUUUAAAUUUCAUGUUUGGAUGAUUUAACUUAAUUGUGAAUUUUAAUACAGUGGAUAUAAAUUCGGAGUUCAGUA
Erythranthe guttata (spotted monkey flower) is the source of this 658-nucleotide non-coding RNA. The record is from RefSeq and is a predicted model, not a curated record. NCBI's taxonomy places the organism in Eukaryota, Viridiplantae, Streptophyta, Magnoliopsida, Lamiales, Phrymaceae.